This 256-nucleotide ribosomal RNA is filed under the name uncultured bacterium. RNAcentral's name for it is "partial 16S ribosomal RNA". It matches the Rfam family "Bacterial small subunit ribosomal RNA", at positions 524 to 776 of the family's 1533-position model. The record is from RNAcentral.
UACGUAGGGAGCAAGCGUUGUCCGGAAUCAUUGGGCGUAAAGCGCGCGUAGGCGGCCCUGUAAGUCCGUUGUGAAAGUCAAAGGCUCAACCUUUGAAAGCCGAUGGAUACUGCAGGGCUAGAGUCCGGAAGAGGCGAAGUGGAAUUCCUGGUGGUAGCGGUGGAAUGCGCAGAUAUCAAGGAGGAACACCAAUAGCGAAGGCAGCUCGCUGGGACGGUACUGACGCUAAGGCGCGAAAGCGUGGGGAGCGAACAGG